This 99-nucleotide signal recognition particle RNA is filed under the name Dissulfurirhabdus thermomarina. RNAcentral describes it as "Bacterial small signal recognition particle RNA". It matches the Rfam family "Bacterial small signal recognition particle RNA". From Rfam's summary of the family: The signal recognition particle (SRP) is a universally conserved ribonucleoprotein involved in the co-translational targeting of proteins to membranes. Archaeal SRP consists of a 7S RNA and homologues of the eukaryotic SRP19 and SRP54 proteins. In most bacteria, the SRP consists of a 4.5S RNA and the Ffh protein (a homologue of the eukaryotic SRP54 protein). Lineage: Bacteria; Pseudomonadati; Thermodesulfobacteriota; Dissulfuribacteria; Dissulfuribacterales; Dissulfuribacteraceae. The record is from Rfam by way of RNAcentral.
AGCCGGGUCCUGCGCAACGAAACCCCGCGAACCCCGCCAGGUCCGGAAGGAAGCAACGGUAGUGGGGCCCUUCGUGUGCUGCAGGGGUGCCCGGCUAUC